GAACACGGUAAUUAUUUAAAAAAUUACAUUUUUAUAGGUACCCUGAAGGUAAAAAUUGUGAAAAAUCACGUAAUGGACAAUGGCAGAGCAAGUCUUAUCACAGUUAACGAACACUAUGAGUACCUAAUGAGUUUUUGCAGUAAAUAAUUUUGCCAAAGUUGUGAUCCCGCGAAAGUUCUGUUUGUAAAUUGUAAGGAAUCGUCAAAAUAUUGGUGCAGACAUGGUUUGUGACCGGUGCUUUUCUCUUGAAAAAACACAACUGAAAGCCUUGAUCUUCAUCCCUACAAUAGAUAUCUGAAACAUGCCAGAUCUGCAUAACAGGAAUGUCAAAGAGGUUCUACCCAAAACACGCCCACAUGGCCAUCCUAAUAUCAAGAUUUUUCAAAAUUUCUAUAACAAAAAAAGAUGAAAAAAUCAAUAAAAUUUCAGGAGCAUAGUGUUAAGAGUUCUGUAGAUGAUUAUGAGAUCUCUUGAAACAACAGAAUGUUUAAUAAAGAUUUUUAACUUUCCUAAUAGUAAAAUUACAAUUAUUACUAAACAGUAAGUUGAAGUAAGUUUUAAAUUAAGAGAAUGCAACUAACACCGAAAGAAAAAUGAAAGUUACUGAAAAUAAAAAACUUUAUUGCAGUACCUACAUACACUUUCUACAUCUAAUUUUGUUUAUUGAUCACAUUCAUUUACUUGAAAAAGUAUCAGGCCUAUGAAUCGUCGUCUGGAAACAGCUAACCACACACCAACCUUCAUUGCGUGUGAUGGUGUUUCUUCAAAAGCGUGAGUAUUUUCUAUACACCAAAUUCUGAAGUUCUGUCAGUUGACAUAAUAGCCUAACAGAUGAAACCAGGCUUCAUCAGAAAAGAACGACAAAUCGAGAAUCCCGUUAUCGUCCAUAUCAGCUUGAAACCAACUACAAUACCCAACGCGGCAAGGAAAAUCAGCUGGUUGCAGCUCCUGAACCAACAAAAUCUUGUAUGGAUGCAUAUGUAACUUCUCUUUUACGAUUUUCUGACAUGGGCUGUAUGGUACUCCGGACAGUAAAGAUUUUUGACAAA
Long non-coding RNA from Zophobas morio, 1049 nucleotides. RefSeq lists it as uncharacterized. The transcript is spliced from 2 exons. The record is from RefSeq and is a predicted model, not a curated record. NCBI's taxonomy places the organism in Eukaryota, Metazoa, Arthropoda, Insecta, Coleoptera, Tenebrionidae.